GACGAACGCUGGCGGCGUGCUUAACACAUGCAAGUCGAACGGAAAGGCCCUGCUUUUGUGGGGUGCUCGAGUGGCGAACGGGUGAGUAACACGUGAGUAACCUGCCCUUGACUUUGGGAUAACUUCAGGAAACUGGGGCUAAUACCGGAUAGGAGCUCCUGCUGCAUGGUGGGGGUUGGAAAGUUUCGGCGGUUGGGGAUGGACUCGCGGCUUAUCAGCUUGUUGGUGGGGUAGUGGCUUACCAAGGCUUUGACGGGUAGCCGGCCUGAGAGGGUGACCGGCCACACUGGGACUGAGAUACGGCCCAGACUCCUACGGGAGGCAGCAGUGGGGAAUAUUGCACAAUGGGCGGAAGCCUGAUGCAGCAACGCCGCGUGCGGGAUGACGGCCUUCGGGUUGUAAACCGCUUUCGCCUGUGACGAAGCGUGAGUGACGGUGAUGGGUAAAGAAGCACCGGCUAACUACGUG
RNAcentral lists this ribosomal RNA (468 nucleotides) under uncultured bacterium. RNAcentral describes it as "partial 16S ribosomal RNA". It matches the Rfam family "Bacterial small subunit ribosomal RNA", at positions 28 to 507 of the family's 1533-position model. The record is from RNAcentral.